This 274-nucleotide ribosomal RNA is filed under the name uncultured bacterium. Its description in RNAcentral is "partial 16S ribosomal RNA". It matches the Rfam family "Bacterial small subunit ribosomal RNA", at positions 523 to 796 of the family's 1533-position model. The record is from RNAcentral.
AUACGGAGGGUUCAAGCGUUAUCCGGAAUCAUUGGGUUUAAAGGGUCGGCAGGCGGUCAAUUAAGUCAGAGGUGAAAGCCCAUCGCUCAACGAUGGAACUGCCUUUGAUACUGGUUGACUUGAGUUAUACGGAAGUAGAUAGAAUAAGUAGUGUAGCGGUGAAAUGCAUAGAUAUUACCUAGAAUACCGAUUGCGAAGGCGGUCUACUACGUAUAUACUGACGCUGAGGGACGAAAGCGUGGGGAGCGAACAGGAUUAGAAACCCUAGUAGUCC